AACCUUUACACUGCACGACAGUGCGAUAAGGGAAUCCCAAGUGCGUAGGCAUAGAGCCUACGCUUUUGUCCGCCGUAGGGAGGUGGACGAAUAAGGGCUGGGCAAGACCGGUGCCAGCCGCCGCGGUAAUACCGGCAGCCCGAGUGAUGGCCGAUCUUAUUGGGCCUAAAGCGUCCGUAGCUGGCCGCACAAGUCCAUCAGAAAAUCCACCCGCUCAACGGGUGGGCGUCCGGUGGAAACUGUGUGGCUUAGGACCGGAAGGCGCGACGGGUACGUCCGGGGUAGGAGUGAAAUCCCGUAAUCCUGGACGGACCGCCGAUGGCGAAAGCACGUCGCGAGAACGGAUCCGACAGUGAGGGACGAAAGCUAGGGUCUCGAACCGGAUUAGAUACCCGGGUAGUCCUAGCCGUAAACAAUGCCUGCUAGGUGUGGCUCCCACUACGAGUGGGUGCUGUGCCGUAGGGAAGCCGCUAAGCAGGCCGCCUGGGAAGUACGUCCGCAAGGAUGAAACUUAA
RNAcentral lists this ribosomal RNA (515 nucleotides) under uncultured archaeon. RNAcentral describes it as "bacterial SSU rRNA". It matches the Rfam family "Archaeal small subunit ribosomal RNA", at positions 345 to 859 of the family's 1478-position model. The record is from RNAcentral.